CAGUCGCCGCGGUAAUACAGAGGGUGCGAGCGUUAAUCGGAUUUACUGGGCGUAAAGCGUGCGUAGGCGGCUUCUUAAGUCGGAUGUGAAAUCCCUGAGCUUAACUUAGGAAUUGCAUUUGAUACUGGGAAGCUAGAGUAUGGGAGAGGAUGGUAGAAUUCCAGGUGUAGCGGUGAAAUGCGUAGAGAUCUGGAGGAAUACCGAUGGCGAAGGCAGCCAUCUGGCCUAAUACUGACGCUGAGGUACGAAAGCAUGGGGAGCAAACAGGAUUAGAUACCCGAGUAGUCCCUGUCUCUUAUAU
This 301-nucleotide ribosomal RNA is filed under the name uncultured bacterium. RNAcentral's name for it is "partial 16S ribosomal RNA". It matches the Rfam family "Bacterial small subunit ribosomal RNA", at positions 509 to 809 of the family's 1533-position model. The record is from RNAcentral.